UGGAGUACCGCUUAUGCCAAGCCUGCAUGAGGGGCAAGGACUUCUACGAAGGUGUACGAUCAGUGCUGAUCGACAAGGACCACAGCCCCCGGUGGAGCCCGGCGACGCUCGCUGAGGUGUCGGACCACAGCGUGGACCAGUGCUUCUCCCCCCUGGGAGAGAGGGACCUCCGCCUCUGAAGGCUCUCUCUCUCUCUCUCUC
Molecule: long non-coding RNA, 201 nt
Organism: Gadus chalcogrammus (walleye pollock)
Lineage: Eukaryota; Metazoa; Chordata; Actinopteri; Gadiformes; Gadidae
Exons: 3
Source: RefSeq, a predicted model, not a curated record